RNAcentral lists this unclassified non-coding RNA (273 nucleotides) under uncultured fungus. RNAcentral's name for it is "sequence contains ITS1". The record is from RNAcentral. Lineage: Eukaryota; Fungi.
UUGAUUAUUUAAUAUUUGCUCAGACAUCACUGAUAAAUAGGAUUUGGUUUAAACCUCUGGCGGGCGCGAGCCGCCCCCAGGCAACAAAGCCUGGGGCCGGCAUGAGCCGUAUAGCCUACUCAAGGCCCGCCAAAGCAACAAAGGUAUGGUAAACAUGGGGUUGAGAAACACGACGACCGCCGGCCGAGUCCCGGGAGACUCGAACGACACUCGCCGCUGGGGGCUAGGCCCCCGAACUCAUUAAUGAUCCUUCCGCAGGUUCACCUACGGAAA